This 253-nucleotide ribosomal RNA is filed under the name uncultured bacterium. RNAcentral describes it as "partial 16S ribosomal RNA". It matches the Rfam family "Bacterial small subunit ribosomal RNA", at positions 524 to 776 of the family's 1533-position model. The record is from RNAcentral.
UACGUAGGGGGCAAGCGUUGUCCGGAAUCAUUGGGCGUAAAGAGCGUGUAGGCGGUCCGGUAAGUCGGCCGUGAAAGUCCAAGGCUCAACCUUGGGAUGCCGGUCGAUACUGCCGGACUAGAGUUCGGAAGAGGCGAGUGGAAUUCCCGGUGUAGCGGUGAAAUGCGCAGAUAUCGGGAGGAACACCUAUGGCGAAGGCAGCUCGCUGGGACGUUACUGACGCUGAGACGCGAAAGCGUGGGGAGCAAACAGG